This 500-nucleotide ribosomal RNA is filed under the name uncultured bacterium. RNAcentral's name for it is "partial 16S ribosomal RNA". It matches the Rfam family "Bacterial small subunit ribosomal RNA", at positions 30 to 523 of the family's 1533-position model. The record is from RNAcentral.
AUUGAACGCUGGCGGCAUGCCUUACACAUGCAAGUCGAACGGCAGCACGGGAGCAAUCCUGGUGGCGAGUGGCGAACGGGUGAGUAAAGUAUCGGAACGUGCCCAGUCGUGGGGGAUAACGUAGCGAAAGUUACGCUAAUACCGCAUACGAUCUAUGGAUGAAAGCGGGGGAUCGCAAGACCUCGCGCGAUUGGAGCGGCCGAUAUCAGAUCAGGUAGUUGGUGGGGUAAAGGCUCACCAAGCCGACGAUCUGUAGCUGGUCUGAGAGGACGGCCAGCCACACUGGGACUGAGACACGGCCCAGACUCCUACGGGAGGCAGCAGUGGGGAAUUUUGGACAAUGGGCGAAAGCCUGAUCCAGCCAUGCCGCGUGCAGGAUGAAGGCCUUCGGGUUGUAAACUGCUUUUGUACGGAACGAAAAGGUUUGGCCUAAUAAGCUGAGCUCAUAACGGUACCGUAAGAAUAAGCACCGGCUAACUACGUGCCAGCAGCCGCGGUAA